Molecule: unclassified non-coding RNA, 837 nt
Filed under: Bombus terrestris (buff-tailed bumblebee)
Lineage: Eukaryota; Metazoa; Arthropoda; Insecta; Hymenoptera; Apidae
Description: misc RNA ENSBTSG00005032521.1
Source: RNAcentral
CUUGGGCUGUGAGCUCCAUGCGUUUCCUUUGAAGCUCUGGCAUCGAAUCAAGGUAUAUAUUUCUCUGGCCUGGACGUCUCCCAAACAGAGAGAAAUUCACGGAUCCCCAGGCACCGACCGAUCUUAUAACGAAAAGUAAGAAACGGAAGUACCCACAAUUCUAGUGUGCAUUUCGCCCCUUCUCGGAAUAUUCUAGAAAGAAAAUAGAGACAUUUUGUUAAACAAAUGAUUGGAGAAUAUUAUGAAAUUAUUUUAUACGAUAUUACAAUGUACAUAUAUGUGUAAUGUUAUGGCUGUAAGUCACCUGUCAAUACAGCAUACGCUACUACGCGUACGCUCGCAAUAUCUUAUUGAUACUCUACAUACUUUGUUUUAUAUUUGACACAGCGGCCAAAGAUAAUUACCUGAAGACGAUAAAUCAGAUUUCCUUUAUACACAUAGAAAAUUACAUUUUAGCCUUGUCUAGCCCUUCCUUUUCUUCGUUGGUGUGAUAUCACGGGAAGACGGGACAACGGAAGUCGUGUUAAUAUGUAUUACAUUAUAUCGUAGAUAGGAUAAUGUGGUUGGCGUAACGCUUGUAAACCAACACUAUUUCGUUAUCGUUUCAUCAGCAAUCUCAACGUUCGUCUCACCUCCCGUUCAUUUUCAGAUAUUUCACGGAAGUAAUAACACACUCGAGUGAAAUUUUAUUCCCAUUCCGUUGAUGUAACUCGUUCAACUUGCCGAUAAACGAACGCUUCAAACAAGUUACUUUGAAAACGUUCAUUUACCAGCGAAUUAACAGAAGUUUGAGGCGAUAAGAACUCGAAACAUCAAACCUGCUGAAAUAAGUUCUAU